UGCAGGUGUGUCAGGAAGCUGAGUUUGUAAACCCAGAGAAGCUUUGUGCCAGAACCUUUUCUGAAACUCAAGGUGUGGCGGCUGCUUUUUAAUUCCUGGUGUGUCUGAUCUGAAACCAUCACCAUACCACUAAUUAAAGAACUGAAAGGGGUGGUUGGUAUCGUGUUGUAGUGCCUUUGGAAGCUGGAAAAGUGCCACUGGAUACAGGCUGGAGUCAGUGCAGCUGAGAUGCAGAAUCCUUGAGCAGGAUGCUCUUGGUCUGCAGUGACGAAUCUGAUGGACACAGGGGCUCAUUUUGGGGUUUUUCACAUUAAAAUGACAGAACAAAUAAACUGGGAGAGCUUUGUCCCAAUGAUGUCUUCAGGAGCAGUGAAGUUUGCAUUUUCAGUUUUCCCACAUAAACUUCCCAAACUCUAAAGGGUGAACAGUGUUUCAUCCUUCCUUAUCUUUCCCUCUCCUCGCCUUUUCUGGCCCAGGAGCUUUAAUAAGAAAGGGCUUCAGCAUUUUGGCAUUUUUAAGGACACAAUCCUUCAGUGGGAAAAAGCACUUAGGUGUGGGAUCAUUGCUGGGGAUGGGAGAGAAGAAGCAAAUGAAGAAGCUGCCACUUUGUCAGCUUUUGUGCUUUUCCAUGGAGAGCAGAGCCAGGCCUCCAAAGGAAAUGGGAAUAGAGGAGCUCUGCCUUGAGAAGAAGGAGAAAAUGAGAAAGAAGAAGAAAAAAGGAGAAGAAAGAAGAAGAAGAAAAAGCUGCCAGUGACUUUGUGCCUUUUCAUGGAGAGCAGAGCCAGGCCUCCAAAGGAAAUGGGAGGAGAUGAGCUCUGCCAUGAGAAGAAGAAGAAAAGAAGAAGAAAACAAAGAAGAAAAAAGAAGAAGCAAAUGAAGAAGCUGCCAGUGAGUUUGUGCUUUUCCAUGGAGAGCAGAGCCAGGCCUCCAAAGGAAAUGGAAGGAGAGGACUCUGCCUUGAGCCUUCAGCAGCCAGAUCUCUGCAUCUCAGUGCUCAGGUGGCUGUGCAGGGAGGGCUGGCCUGGAAAUGGGCAGGAUUCCCCUCAGCUGGGUUCUGCAGUCUCUGGGGUUGUUGCGUUGUUCCUGGAGCAGGGUGAGGCUCAGGGACAGGCUGGGACACGCUGGAGUCACUCGCUGUGCCGGGCUGGGGACAGGGAAUCUGCGUCAUGUCUGUGUCUGUCUGUCUGUCCCUCACAACUGCAGCCUGGGCUCAGCCAGCUGCACCUGGACAGAGAAUUCCCUCCCCUGUUCCCCCUUUUCAUCCCCAGCCGCCCCAGAGCAGGGACAGCACAGGGGGACCCAGUGUCAAAGGCUCUUUGGCAGUUUUGGUACCAUGAGGGAUUUAUUGCUGUGCCUGCUCCUGCCAGGCAGCACUUCCUGGCUUUAGGAGCUGCAAAAUGAGCCUGCAUGCCUGUGUUCAUCAAAUACUGAAUUCCAGCGUGUCGUGGUGCCAUCACCUGAGCACAGGUGAGUGUGUGAGAGCCUGAGCUGGGCUCUUUUCCAUGGCCAGCCCCUCACAGCCCUGCCUGGCCUCUCCCCACUGCAAUUCCCAGGCAAUUUCUCAUGCCCACGGGUCUAAUCCACAGUAAUUCCAGCCUCUGGUCAUGAUGUCCUAAAAAGAGAAAACAUUUCUAGUCCAAAAUAACCAAGGUUUACUGAAGUCAUUCAUAUUCACACUGGCAAAUAUCCAAACAUCUUUCUGUUUGCCUACUUCCUUUCCCAUCCUCCAGCCUGCAUGGGUUCUUCUCCUUAAAGAAAAGAAACUUUCACUUCUAAAUUUCAGUGCGUUUUAUUGCUGUAAAUCUCAAAAUAGGAAGGGAAAAAGCCUUCAGGUAAAAAUCAGAAUUUAAAAACUCAUUCUUUCCUGGCUGGGACAUUUGUUCCUUAUUUGUAUCUUCAGUUUUAAAUAUGCAAAUUUAUUUAUUUUUAUCCUGCUGAAGCUGCUUCAGAGAGGCAGUGUCAGAGUGGUGGUUUCUACCUGAAGAGGGGUUUUUGUGUGUGGAAUUCCUGGAGCUGGGAGAGAUGCUGUAAUCAGAUAGGAAUUUGGGAAAUGUAUAGGUCUUUCAGGAAUGCAUAGCUCAUGUUGUCAUCGUUUUUCAGCUCUCCACCAUCCAAACUUUGCUUUAGCUAAUGCAAGCCAGAUGGGUUAUUGCUAUUUUAUACACUAAUAUUUGUAUUUAGGCUUUUUUAAUGGUCUCUGCUAAUAGUGCUGAGGCAGUAGGAAUUGUAUAAUCAUGAUUAAGGAAUUUUUUUUUACUUGAGUUGUUUUGUUUGUUUCUCGGUGCUGGUUAUGGAUCAGGUGUUGCAGAGAUUUGAUUAUUUUAUGUUUCACUAGGGGAAAAAAAAGGUUGGUUAAAAAUGGAUUUCUGGUCUGCUUUGGGAGAAAGAACCAGAGUGGUUUAUACAAAUGCAAUAAAUAAAUAAAUAACUCCGGGAAAAAAAAAACC
This is a long non-coding RNA of Junco hyemalis (dark-eyed junco), 2447 nucleotides long. The record is from Ensembl. Lineage: Eukaryota; Metazoa; Chordata; Aves; Passeriformes; Passerellidae.